Myxocyprinus asiaticus (Chinese sucker) is the source of this 388-nucleotide long non-coding RNA. RefSeq lists it as uncharacterized. NCBI's taxonomy places the organism in Eukaryota, Metazoa, Chordata, Actinopteri, Cypriniformes, Catostomidae. The transcript has 3 exons. The record is from RefSeq and is a predicted model, not a curated record.
GGAUUUAACCACUGGAAUCAUAUGGAUUACUUUUAUGCUGCCUUUAUGCUUCAAAGUUCUGGCCACCUUUCACUUGCAUUUUAUGGCCAGAAAAGAAAGUCAUACACAUCUGGGAUGGCAUGGGGAGCGUAAAUCCAAAUCCUGAUGAGAACCAGAUUUUCCAUGCGUGAAAAAGGAGCGUCAUUGUCAUAGAAAUAUGCCUGACAUUCAACAGGGAUGCAGUUAAUGCACAAAAGAACUGUGCUAACACGGCAACCUCCGCCCCACCACCACCAGUUGAGUCCCAUCCUGCACGUGGGUAGGCUCCUCGCCCCUGCCUCCUAUUUCCGGCAGGAUAUGAUGGUUCCAAGUACAACUCCUUCGGACUGCCAGAUGGGGCUUACGCCAA